UACAGAGGUGGCAAGCGUUGUUCGGAAUUACUGGGCGUAAAGGGCGCGUAGGCGGCCUUCUAAGUCAGACGUGAAAUCCCCCGGCUUAACCUGGGAACUGCGUCUGAUACUGGAGGGCUUGAGUGCGGGAGAGGGAUGUGGAAUUCCAGGUGUAGCGGUGAAAUGCGUAGAUAUCAGGAGGAACACCGGUGGCGAAGGCGGGUCUCUGGGCCGAUACUGACGCUGAGGAGCGAAAGCGUGGGGAGCAAACAGG
This 253-nucleotide ribosomal RNA is filed under the name uncultured bacterium. Its description in RNAcentral is "partial 16S ribosomal RNA". It matches the Rfam family "Bacterial small subunit ribosomal RNA", at positions 524 to 776 of the family's 1533-position model. The record is from RNAcentral.